RNAcentral lists this ribosomal RNA (439 nucleotides) under uncultured bacterium. Its description in RNAcentral is "bacterial SSU rRNA". It matches the Rfam family "Bacterial small subunit ribosomal RNA", at positions 62 to 543 of the family's 1533-position model. The record is from RNAcentral.
UCGCACGGUCGGCGCAAGUCGGCAGUGGCGGACGGGUGAGGAACGCGUAGGAACGUGUCCAGGGGUGGGGGAUAACGCUGGGAAACUGGCGCUAAUACCGCAUGUGAGCUGAGGCUCAAAGCCGAGAGGCGCCUUUGGAGCGGCCUGCGUCCGAUUAGGUAGUUGGUGGGGUAAUGGCCUACCAAGCCUGCGAUCGGUAGCUGGUCUGAGAGGACGACCAGCCACACUGGGACUGAGACACGGCCCAGACUCCUACGGGAGGCAGCAGUGGGGAAUAUUGGACAAUGGGCGCAAGCCUGAUCCAGCAAUGCCGCGUGGGUGAAGAAGGUCUUCGGAUUGUAAAGCCCUUUCGACAGGGACGAUGAUGACGGUACCUGUAGAAGAAGCCCCGGCUAACUUCGUGCCAGCAGCCGCGGUAAUACGAAGGGGGCUAGCGUUG